GCUGGAAACGGUAGCUAAGUCUUUAUAUGCCGGGAGGUGAAAUAGUUCAGACUGCCUAAGGAUGAGCUCACGCCUGAUUAGCUUGUUGGUAAGGUAAUGGCUUACCAAGGCCACGAUCAGUAGCUGGUUUGAGAGAACGACCAGCCACACUGGGACUGAGACACGGCCCAGACUCCUCCGGGAGGCAGCAGUGAGGAAUUUUCCGCAAUGGGCGAAAGCCUGACGGAGCAAUACCGCGUGAGGGAAGACUGCCUAUGGGUUGUAAACCUCUUUUUUCAGGGAGGAAUAAAAUGACGUGUACCUGAAGAAUAAGCAUCGGCUAACUCCGUGCCAGCAGCCGCGGUAAUACG
RNAcentral lists this ribosomal RNA (350 nucleotides) under Isochrysis galbana. Its description in RNAcentral is "partial Bacterial small subunit ribosomal RNA". It matches the Rfam family "Bacterial small subunit ribosomal RNA", at positions 149 to 527 of the family's 1533-position model. The record is from RNAcentral. Lineage: Eukaryota; Haptophyta; Isochrysidales; Isochrysidaceae.